RNAcentral lists this transfer RNA (72 nucleotides) under Salmo salar (Atlantic salmon). It matches the Rfam family "tRNA". From Rfam's summary of the family: Transfer RNA (tRNA) molecules are approximately 80 nucleotides in length. Lineage: Eukaryota; Metazoa; Chordata; Actinopteri; Salmoniformes; Salmonidae. RNAcentral also lists the same sequence under 1 other name. The record is from Rfam by way of RNAcentral.
UCCCGUGUGGCUCAGUUGGUAGAGCAUGGUGUUUGCAAUGCCAGGGUUGUGGGUUUGAUUCCCACUGGGGAC